This 462-nucleotide ribosomal RNA is filed under the name uncultured ammonia-oxidizing beta proteobacterium. RNAcentral's name for it is "bacterial SSU rRNA". It matches the Rfam family "Bacterial small subunit ribosomal RNA", at positions 202 to 647 of the family's 1533-position model. The record is from RNAcentral. Lineage: Bacteria; Pseudomonadati; Pseudomonadota; Betaproteobacteria.
AAGUAGGGGAUCGUAAGACCUUGCGCUUUUGGAGCGGCCGAUGCCUGAUUAGCUAGUUGGUGGGGUAAAGGCCUACCAAGGCGACGAUCAGUAGUUGGUCUGAGAGGACGACCAGCCACACUGGGACUGAGACACGGCCCAGACUCCUACGGGAGGCAGCAGUGGGGAAUUUUGGACAAUGGGCGAAAGCCUGAUCCAGCAAUGCCGCGUGAGUGAAGAAGGCCUUCGGGUUGUAAAGCUCUUUCAGUCGAGAAGAAAAGGUCGCGACUAAUAAUCGCGACUCAUGACGGUAUCGACAGAAGAAGCACCGGCUAACUACGUGCCAGCAGCCGCGGUAAUACGUAGGGUGCGAGCGUUAAUCGGAAUUACUGGGCGUAAAGGGUGCGCAGGCGGCUUUGUAAGUCAGAUGUGAAAUCCCCGGGCUUAACCUGGGAAUUGCGUUUGAAACUACAAAGCUAGAGU